GAUGAACGCUGGCGGCGUGCCUAAUACAUGCAAGUCGAGCGAACAGAUGAGGAGCUUGCUCCUCUGACGUUAGCGGCGGACGGGUGAGUAACACGUGGAUAACCUACCUAUAAGACUGGGAUAACUUCGGGAAACCGGAGCUAAUACCGGAUAAUAUAUUGAACCGCAUGGUUCAAUAGUGAAAGACGGUUUUGCUGUCACUUAUAGAUGGAUCCGCGCCGCAUUAGCUAGUUGGUAAGGUAACGGCUUACCAAGGCAACGAUGCGUAGCCGACCUGAGAGGGUGGUGGGCCACACUGGAACUGAGAAACGGCCCAGACCCCUAGGGGAGGCAGAGGGAGGGAAUCUUCCGAAAUGGGCGAAAGCCUGACGGAGCAACGCCGGGUGAGGGAAGAAGGUCUUGGGAUCGUAAAACUGUUUUAUGGGGAAAAAAAAAGUGUGAAAGAAACUAUGCACUUCUUGAGGGACCCUAAAAAGAAAGCCACGGAAAACUACGUC
This 497-nucleotide ribosomal RNA is filed under the name uncultured bacterium. RNAcentral describes it as "partial 16S ribosomal RNA". It matches the Rfam family "Bacterial small subunit ribosomal RNA", at positions 28 to 507 of the family's 1533-position model. The record is from RNAcentral.